GUCUACUGCUAUACCACCCUGAACGUGCCCGAUCUUGUCUGAUCUCGAAAGCUAAGCAGGGUUGGGCCUGGUUAGCACUUGGUUGGGAGAAAAUUGCCAAUUUUUGAAAGAAACUCAGGCAAUGAAGAGU
RNAcentral lists this ribosomal RNA (130 nucleotides) under Callithrix jacchus (white-tufted-ear marmoset). The record is from RNAcentral. Lineage: Eukaryota; Metazoa; Chordata; Mammalia; Primates; Cebidae.